GGGGUUUUGCCAUGUUGGCCAGGCUGCUCUUGAUCUGCCUGCCUCAGCCUCCCAAAGUGCUGGGAUUACAGGCGUGGGCCACCACAUCCGGCCCCCUGUGUGCUUUUAAAGAACAAACAUGAGGCUGGGCAUGGGGGCUCGUGCCUAUAAUCCCAGCACUUUAGGAGGCUGAGGCAGGAGGAUUGCUUGAGGCCAGGAGUUCGAGACCAGCCUGGGUAACAUAGUGAGACCUCGUCUCUAAAAAAAUUUAAAAAUAAGAUAAAAAUCGGGCCAGGCGCAGUGGCUCACGCCUGUAAUCCCAGCACUUUGGGAGGCUGAGUCGGGUGGAUCACAAGGCCAGGAGUUCAAGACCAGCCUGGCCAAGAUGGUGAAGCCCCAUCUCUACUAAAAAUACAAAAAUUAGCCGGGUGUGUUGGCGGGUGCCUGUGAUCCCAGCUACUGGAGAGGCUGAGGCAGAGAGUUGCUUGAACUCGGGAGGUGGAGGUUGCAGUGAGCCAAGAUUGCGCCACUGCACUCCAGCCUGGGUGACAGAGCAAGACUCCAUUUCAAAAAAAAAAAAGAAAAGAUAAAAAUUAGCGGGAUCAUGAUGCAUCCUAGCUACUUAGGAGACUGAGACAGGAGGAUCAGUUGAGCCCAGGAAGUCAAGCCUGCAGUGAGCUGUGAUCACACCACUGCAUAUCAGCCUAGGUGACAGAGCGAGACCCUGUCUCAAAAACACAUUUAAGGCUGGGCAUGGUGGGCUCACAUCUGUAAUCCCAGCACUUUGGGAAGUCAAGGCAAGUGGAUCACCUGAGGUCAGGAGUUCGAGACCAGCCUGGCCAACACGGUGAAAACCCUUCUCUACUAAAAAUACAAAAAUUAGCUGGGCAUGGUGGCAGUCGCCUAUAAUCGCAGCUACGCGGGAGGCUGAGGCAGGAGAAUCGCUUGAACCUGGUGGUGGAGGAGGGGGUGGCAGAGGUUGCAGUGAGCCGAGAUUGUGCCACUGCACUCCAGCCUGGGUGAAAGAGCGAAACUCUGUCUCAAAAUAAACAAUAUUUAAAAAUAAAAUGGACAUGAAAGGAAACCCUCCACGCAUCUUAUCCUGUAACUUGCUUUUGCUCCCUCAUUCUUAUCUUUUUGAAACCCAUUUAUGCUGGUUAAUUAAGAUCUAGUUCAUUCUUUUCCUGUUGAGUCUCACAGGGCCCGGCACAGUGGCUCACACCUAUAAUUCC
Molecule: long non-coding RNA, 1211 nt
Filed under: Homo sapiens (human)
Lineage: Eukaryota; Metazoa; Chordata; Mammalia; Primates; Hominidae
Description: HSALNT0236230
Source: RNAcentral